UGGGGAAUUUUGGACAAUGGGCGAAAGCCUGAUCCAGCAAUGCCGCGUGUGUGAAGAAGGCCUUCGGGUUGUAAAGCACUUUUGUCCGGAAAGAAAUCCUUGGCUCUAAUACAGUCGGGGGAUGACGGUACCGGAAGAAUAAGCACCGGCUAACUACGUGCCAGCAGCCGCGGUAAUACGUAGGGUGCAAGCGUUAAUCGGAAUUACUGGGCGUAAAGCGUGCGCAGGCGGUUUGCUAAGACCGAUGUGAAAUCCCCGGGCUCAACCUGGGAACUGCAUUGGUGACUGGCAGGCUAGAGUAUGGCAGAGGGGGGUAGAAUUCCACGUGUAGCAGUGAAAUGCGUAGAGAUGUGGAGGAAUACCGAUGGCGAAGGCAGCCCCCUGGGCCAAUACUGACGCUCAUGCACGAAAGCGUGGGGAGCAAACAGGAUUAGAUACCCUGGGUAGUCCACGCCCUAAACAAUGUCAACUAGUUGUUGGGGAUUCAUUUCCUUAGUAACGUGCUAACGCGUGAAGUUGACCGCCUGGGGAGUACGGUCGCAAGAUUAAAACUCAAAUG
Molecule: ribosomal RNA, 559 nt
Filed under: uncultured bacterium
Lineage: Bacteria
Description: partial 16S ribosomal RNA
Rfam family: Bacterial small subunit ribosomal RNA
Source: RNAcentral